AUUGAACGCUGGCGGCAGGCCUAACACAUGCAAGUCGAGCGGAUGAAGGGAGCUUGCUCCUGGAUUCAGCGGCGGACGGGUGAGUAAUGCCUAGGAAUCUGCCUGGUAGUGGGGGAUAACGUCCGGAAACGGGCGCUAAUACCGCAUACGUCCUGAGGGAGAAAGUGGGGGAUCUUCGGACCUCACGCUAUCAGAUGAGCCUAGGUCGGAUUAGCUAGUUGGUGGGGUAAAGGCCUACCAAGGCGACGAUCCGUAACUGGUCUGAGAGGAUGAUCAGUCACACUGGAACUGAGACACGGUCCAGACUCCUACGGGAGGCAGCAGUGGGGAAUAUUGGACAAUGGGCGAAAGCCUGAUCCAGCCAUGCCGCGUGUGUGAAGAAGGUCUUCGGUUUGUAAAGCACUUUAAGUUGGGAGGGAGGGCAGUAAGUUAAUACCUUGCUGUUUUGACGUUACCAACAGAAUAAGCACCGGCUAACUUCGUG
Molecule: ribosomal RNA, 484 nt
Filed under: uncultured bacterium
Lineage: Bacteria
Description: partial 16S ribosomal RNA
Rfam family: Bacterial small subunit ribosomal RNA
Source: RNAcentral